AGUGAACGCUGGCGGUAGGCCUAACACAUGCAAGUCGAACGGCAGCACAGUAAGAGCUUGCUCUUACGGGUGGCGAGUGGCGGACGGGUGAGGAAUACAUCGGAAUCUACUUUUUCGUGGGGGAUAACGUAGGGAAACUUACGCUAAUACCGCAUACGACCUACGGGUGAAAGCAGGGGAUCUUCGGACCUUGCGCGAUUGAAUGAGCCGAUGUCGGAUUAGCUAGUUGGCGGGGUAAAGGCCCACCAAGGCGACGAUCCGUAGCUGGUCUGAGAGGAUGAUCAGCCACACUGGAACUGAGACACGGUCCAGACUCCUACGGGAGGCAGCAGUGGGGAAUAUUGGACAAAGGGCGGAAGCCUGAUCCAGCCAUACCGCGUGGGUGAAGAAGGCCUUCGGGUUGUAAAGCCCUUUUGUUGGGAAAGAAAAGCAGCAGGUUAAUACCCCGCUGUUCUGACGGUACCCAAAGAAUAAGCACCGGCUAACUUCGUG
This 492-nucleotide ribosomal RNA is filed under the name uncultured bacterium. RNAcentral's name for it is "partial 16S ribosomal RNA". It matches the Rfam family "Bacterial small subunit ribosomal RNA", at positions 29 to 507 of the family's 1533-position model. The record is from RNAcentral.